UACGUAGGGGGCAAGCGUUGUCCGGAAUUAUUGGGCGUAAAGAGCUCGUAGGCGGUUCGUCGCGUCGGCUGUGAAAUCCCGAGGCUCAACCGCGGGUCUGCAGUCGAUACGGGCGGACUGGAGUUCGGCAGGGGAGACUGGAAUUCCUGGUGUAGCGGUGAAAUGCGCAGAUAUCAGGAGGAACACCGGUGGCGAAGGCGGGUCUCUGGGCCGAUACUGACGCUGAGGAGCGAAAGCGUGGGGAGCGAACAGG
This 253-nucleotide ribosomal RNA is filed under the name uncultured bacterium. RNAcentral's name for it is "partial 16S ribosomal RNA". It matches the Rfam family "Bacterial small subunit ribosomal RNA", at positions 524 to 776 of the family's 1533-position model. The record is from RNAcentral.